This 300-nucleotide ribosomal RNA is filed under the name uncultured bacterium. Its description in RNAcentral is "bacterial SSU rRNA". It matches the Rfam family "Bacterial small subunit ribosomal RNA", at positions 1077 to 1382 of the family's 1533-position model. The record is from RNAcentral.
GGGUUAAGUCCCGCAACGAGCGCAACCCUUAUCUUUUGUUGCAGAAUUUAUUCUAACUAAAGAGACUGCCGGUGAUAAAUCGGAGGAAGGUGAGGAUGACGUCAAGUCAGCAUGCCCCUUACGCUCUGGGCUACACACGUGCUACAAUGGUUAGGACAAAGAGAUGCGACCUCGCGAGAGCAAGCCAACCUCAAAAACCUAAUCUUAGUUCGGAUUGCAGGCUGCAACUCGCCUGCAUGAAGGUGGAAUCGCUAGUAAUCGCCGGUCAGCAAUACGGUGGUGAAUACGUUCCCGGGUCUU